RNAcentral lists this small nuclear RNA (122 nucleotides) under Pelusios castaneus (West African mud turtle). RNAcentral describes it as "U5 spliceosomal RNA (ENSPCEG00000018496.1)". It matches the Rfam family "U5 spliceosomal RNA". Rfam says of the family: U5 RNA is a component of both types of known spliceosome. Lineage: Eukaryota; Metazoa; Chordata; Testudines; Pelomedusidae. The record is from Rfam by way of RNAcentral.
AUACUCUGGUUUCUCUUCAGAUCGUAUAAAUCUUUCGCCUUUUACUAAAGAUUUCUGUGGAGAGGAACAUUUAUGAGUUUGUAUCUCUUGAUUUAUUAACAUCAGUUCUACUUCAAACAUGG